Molecule: long non-coding RNA, 3726 nt
Organism: Brassica rapa (field mustard)
Lineage: Eukaryota; Viridiplantae; Streptophyta; Magnoliopsida; Brassicales; Brassicaceae
Source: RefSeq, a predicted model, not a curated record
UAGUCUUAUUUUUUAUUCUUUAAAUAAUAUAAUACAAUAUUAUACAUUAUUUUUUAGAAUUGAGAAAUACAUAUAAUAUCUUAUCCGCGCGUAGCGCGGUUAAAAAAUUUAGUAAUAAUUAAAAAAGAACUAUCAAAUCACCCGGCCGUCGUAAGCAAUUAAAUAAAUAUUACUUUCUUGACAAAACAAACAAAUAAUAGCGAACAGUGACAAGCAUCACUAGAAGUCUGAAACCCUAAUUUGCAUAGCUCACAGUCUAUCAAUUAUUACGAUUGAACAUCUUCUCCAUUGACAUGUGAUCUGUACAAGCUAAAAUGCUCUAUUCAAUUUCUGAUAUCAAAGAUAAAUUGUUUCAAUCUGGAUAACGCGACCAAAAACCUAUAUGGUUGUCGAGCCAAAUAGAUUCUAAUUCUCGUUGUAUAUGUUUUCAUUGAGAGAUUCGUGUUUGAUUUUAGAAAUCAACAAUUUCUUUUUACCAAGGUCACAUGACUUUUUUUUUUUUAGAGUUUGUGUUUUUCACAUCUUGAGAAUAAUAGAAACAAAUAUCGUUUGACAAAAAAAAUAUCAAUUCGACUUUAAAGGAAACUAGAUUUUGACCCGCGCUUUCACAUUAUCUUUUAUUGAAAAAUUUACUAACCCGCUAAUUCACUAAUAUUUUUAGCCACGGGUGUUCGGUUUUGUGUUCAGUUUCAAUUUUUUUUUACUUUCAGUUUGUGCCAAUUCAGUUGUGAUCUUCGUUAUUCGGUCCAAGAGAUAAAAUAACUGUUUGAUUAUUUAUGAAUUUGGGUUUUGUUUCGGUUUGGUUACAUUAAUUUUUGGUUUGGUUAAGAUAACAACGUUAGGAAUCUGAUAAAAUUUGAGUUCAGUUCGGUUUUCGGUUCUCAUUUGUUGGAUAAUUUUGAAUAAUUCGGGUAAAAUCACAUGUUGGAUUUUGUUGGAUACAGUAUCGGAUAACUUGAAUAAAUUCAAAUAUUUCGAAUAAUUGUUUUGGGUGAUUCAGUUCUAUUGGAAAAUAACAAAAAAAAAAUAUCUUGGAUAAAAAGUAAUAGUGUAAUCCAUUGCUUGGUUUGUUCGAUUAUAAACAGUAUUAGGACUGGGCAAAAAAACUCGGAUCCAAAAACUAAACCGUACCCCCAAAAAAAUAGUAUGGAACCCGAACCGAAAUUGUUUAAAUAUCCAAAUGAGUUCAAAAUUAUGGUAGUUAGGGAACCGAAACCGAACCUGAUCCGAACCGAAGUAUUUCGGGUACCCGAUUAUAUCCGAAAUUGAUUUAUAUACCUAUAUAUAUUAAAUAUUAUUAGAUUUACUAUAUAUUAAGACCAUCAAAAUAUAUAAGAUACUUUUAAGUUAUACAAAAGUAUUUAUAUAUAUAUACAAAUAGUCAAAAGUACAUAUCUAAAAUAGCUAAAGUAUACUCAAAACACCAACAAUACUUAAAAUAUCUAUUGAUUCUCAAUCCAAAUAUUCAAACCAAACCAAUUUAUAUGUUAAUUUUAGGUACUUUGAGAUAUGCUAUUCAAAUUUAUAUGCAAUAUAUUUUUUUGUUUAUAGAUUUUGAGAAAUUUAAAGUAUAUAAUAAAUUUAAAAUUUAAUAAAAUAAUUUAAAUGGGUUAUCCGAACCCGGACUGAACCGGCAAAGAUCCAAACCCGAACUGAAAUUUAGAAAUACCCAAAUGGGGCUGAAAUUUUUGAACCUGAAAACCCGACACCCGAAUAGACCUGAACCGAACCUGAAUGGGUACCCGAACGCCCACCCGAAUUUGGUAAUUUUAAACUAAAUAUAAUUAAUAUUUUAAGGUAUAUAAAUUGUAUUUAAGAUAUUCGAGUACCCAUUCGGUUUUCGGUUUGAUUCAAAUCGGUUUCGGUCUUUCUGUUUCAGCGAUAUAGGAACCGUUAAAAUAUUUGUGAAUAUGAUUCAGUUUUGUUUUUUUUUAUGUUGUUUCUGUUCAGUUUUCGGUUUUCAAUUUAUACGCCAAUUGACUUCGGUUUGUACAAUUUGUCUAGUAUUUGAUAAAUAAUUGAUUUAAACUUAUUUUUAUUAACAAAGUUUAUAUAUUAAUACUGUUAUUAUAUAUUACUAUAUAAAAUUAGUUGCAAACUCGUGAUCUAAAUUUUGUAUGAUAUUUUUCUAUGAAUCUUAUUAAAUAUUUUAAUGACUAUGAACCGGGAAAUUUUUGUAGUUUUGUUUCAAAGAUAAUUGUAAUGUUUCUUUGACAAAUAGUUUAUAAUAUUCUUAUUUUGUAAUUAAGAUUAUUUAUAUUUGCUAUAUAAUUGUUUUUCGAACAUUAAACCUAAACAAAACUAAAAUGGGCCCGCAUAUUAAUUGAAAAAGGAAAAUUAAGCAAAGCCCACAUCAAACCACAUACGUAAAAAUCGACCCAAGACCAGUCGUUAUCUUUUGAUGUAAACCAAAACAUUAACCAAAACAAAUAUCUUCUUUCAGACAUCGGUUUGCAAACACAAAAAAAAAAAACAGAUUAUCUCUAAUGGUGAUUAUAGAGAGUUAUCGAGUCAUGGACGAUCUCCAGGGUAAAUCAUUUCUUUAUUUUCUUCAUCCUUGUUAGAAUAAUGAUUUUGAAUAUAGCAGGUUGUUUGCUAUCUUUUGCAUAUCGUGAACACAAAAUAUUACUUGCAAACUUUUUUUUUGGUUUUUGCAAUCUUUUGCAUGUCGUUUCAAAUCGGGUUUAAUGUGUACUCCUGAUGAAAUCAAGGCAGAUCUGAGGCAGUCAAAGAAAGAUCAUGGUGAACUCCUUCGAUUUGGCAUUAAUCUCACAAAAACUCCAAAGGUUUGUCACUUGAUAUGCUCGCUCAUAUAACGUGUUUCAUUACCUCAAUUUUUUUUUUGCUGAAAUGAAUUAAAAAAUAAGUAAAUAUUUUAUGUUUUACUUUUAAUAAAUCUCGAUUUUGUUUUAAAAUACUUUGAAAUACAAUUAUGUAAUUAUUUAAAAUAAAUAACUCAUUUUCAUAAAAUAUAAUGUAUUUAUUUAUAUGUUAGAGAUGGGUUUUAGGUUCGGGCCUUAUGCUUUUUUAAUUAAAACAUAUGGGCUCAAAGUUCAUUAAGUGAACCCAAAAAUAUAAUUUGUUUUCCUUUUUCAGAUUAGUAUUUGACAGAAGAAAAAUAAACAUUUAACUCUCAACAGUCGGUUCGUCUUUGCUUAAGAGAUGAAGAUGAAGAUCUCCCCCGACAAAAGCACCUAAUCAAAUCCGUAGGGUUACAUCUUUGUCUUUCUUCUUGAUCCAUAGCUAGCUCGUUCUGUUUAAACGUUUUAUGAAGAACAAACAAUAAUUUGAUCUAACUAAUUUUUUUGAUCUGUUUUGCAUGUUGUAUCCGAUGACUUAUAUUGUUAUUGCGAUGAGUGUUGUGAUGACUUCGAAGAAUCGAAUGCAUACUUCUUGAAAAUUUAUGCCAGACAAAUUAAUAUGGACCCCAAUACUCCGAAGGUGUGUACCACUUUGGCGUGGAUCAACCACGUCUUUUGCCAUGGCCUAAUCUGAUCAAGGAUCCAAUAUGUGACAUCGAUAUGUUUCAAUGUUGAAAAGUGAGCGUUGAUAAAGGCAACAAAAUUUUAGUUUCAAGAGCUAAGAAAAAAUGUACUUUAUAAGGAAUGAAGAACGAUUAUGGGUUUUUCUAAAACUUAGCUUGGUCCGAUGGGAAUGGAAAUUUUAAAUUAAAUUGUAGCUGGAUUAAAAGAUUUAUCGAUAAUAUAUCCAUAUAAUUAAAAAGCA